Molecule: small RNA, 83 nt
Filed under: Tenacibaculum dicentrarchi
Lineage: Bacteria; Pseudomonadati; Bacteroidota; Flavobacteriia; Flavobacteriales; Flavobacteriaceae
Description: Flavo-1
Rfam family: Flavo-1 RNA
Source: RNAcentral
CCCUAGCCCCGAUUGAAGCUUUGUUUGAGCUCCUUUUUGUUUUUUUCAAACAAAAAGAGCGAGUGCGGAAAGCGGGAAAUAGC